GCAACCUGCCUUUAAGACGUGGAUAACAAUUGGAAACAGUUGCUAAGACAGGAUAGGAAAUUAAGAGGCAUCUUUUAAUUUUUAAAAGACCUUUUUCGAAAGGUAUGCUUAAAGAGGGGCUUGCGCCACAUUAGUUAGUUGGUAAGGUAAAGGCUUACCAAGACGAUGAUGUGUAGCUGGACUGAGAGGUUGAACAGCCACAUUGGGACUGAGACACGGCCCAAACUCCUACGGGAGGCAGCAGUAAGGAAUUUUUGGCAAUGGAGGAAACUCUGACCGAGCGACGCCGCGUGAACAAUGAAGUACUUCGGUAUGUAAAGUUCUUUUAUUGAAAAAGAAAAAAUAGUGGAAAAACUAUCUUGACAUUAUUCAAUGAAUAAGCCCCGGCUAAUUAUGUGCCAGCAGCCGCGGUAAUACAUAAGGGGCGAGCGUUAUCCGGAAUUAUUGGGCGUAAAGGGUGCGUAGGCGGUUUGAUAAGUCUAUAGUUUAAAUGCAGCGCUUAACGCUGUAGCGCUAUAGAAACUGUCUGACUAGAGUUAGAUAGAGGCAAGCGGAAUUCCAUGUGUAGCGGUAAAAUGCGUAAAUAUAUGGAGGAACACCAGAGGCGUAGGCGGCUUGCUGGGUCUUAACUGACGCUGAGGCACGAAAGCGUGGGGAGCAAACAGGAUUAGAUACCCUGGUAGUCCACGCCGUAAACGAUGAGUACUAAGUGUCGGGUUUCGGCUCGGUACUGAAGUUAACACAUUAAGUACUCCGCCUGAGUAGUACGUACGCAAGUAUGAAACUUAAAGGAAUUGACGGGACCCCGCACAAGCGGUGGAUCAUGUUGUUUAAUUCGAAGAUACACGAAAAACCUUACCAGGUCUUGACAUAAUUUUGCGACAUUAUAGAAAUAUAAUGAAGGUUAUCAGAAUUACAGGUGGUGCAUGGUUGUCGUCAGCUCGUGUCGUGAGAUGUUAGGUUAAGUCCUAAAACGAGCGCAACCCUUGUCGUUAGUUGCGACCACGUAAUGGUGAGCACUUUAGCGAGACUGCCAAUGAAAAAUUGGAGGAAGGUGAGGAUUACGUCAAAUCAUCAUGCCCCUUAUGAUCUGGGCUACAAACGUGAUACAAUGGCUGUUACAAAGAGUAGCUACAACGUGAGUUUUUAGCCAAUCUCAAAAAAACAGUCUCAGUUCGGAUUGAAGUCUGCAACUCGACUUCAUGAAGUUGGAAUCGCUA
RNAcentral lists this ribosomal RNA (1220 nucleotides) under 'Bidens alba' witches'-broom phytoplasma. RNAcentral describes it as "bacterial SSU rRNA". It matches the Rfam family "Bacterial small subunit ribosomal RNA", at positions 121 to 1337 of the family's 1533-position model. The record is from RNAcentral. Lineage: Bacteria; Bacillati; Mycoplasmatota; Mollicutes; Acholeplasmatales; Acholeplasmataceae.